UCUCCGUAGGUGAACCUGCGGAGGGAUCAUUACAGAGUUCUCGCCCUCGCGGGUAGAUCUCCCACCCACUGUUAUCGUUACUGUGUUGCUUUGGCGGGCCGCCGGGCCCCGCUCGGCCGCCGGCUCCGGCUGGCGCGCGCCCGCCAGAGGCCCAGCAAACUCUGAAUGUUAGUGUCGUCUGAGUACUAUAUAAUAGUUAAAACUUUCAACAACGGAUUUCUUGGUUCUG
Molecule: unclassified non-coding RNA, 229 nt
Filed under: plant metagenome
Description: partial contains small subunit ribosomal RNA, internal transcribed spacer 1, and 5.8S ribosomal RNA
Source: RNAcentral